Molecule: microRNA, 21 nt
Filed under: Prunus persica (peach)
Lineage: Eukaryota; Viridiplantae; Streptophyta; Magnoliopsida; Rosales; Rosaceae
Description: microRNA miRNA_85
Source: RNAcentral
ACGCAGGAGAGAUGGCGCCGU